This 618-nucleotide long non-coding RNA is filed under the name Ricinus communis (castor bean). RNAcentral describes it as "long non-coding RNA (RCOM_LNC000206)". Lineage: Eukaryota; Viridiplantae; Streptophyta; Magnoliopsida; Malpighiales; Euphorbiaceae. The record is from RNAcentral.
UUAGAGAUGAUGGGCGAGGGGCAGCUGCUGUGGGACUGGUGAGGAAUGAUUCGGGUGAAUGGAGCUAACAUUGGGGUGGAGGAGGAGGAUCAUCUUGGAGGUGAAUAAUCUGAGUGUGGCAAGGAUGAUUUCUGGGUGAGAUUAAUGUGAGGAACAGUAGCUGGAAGAUGGCGGGGAAUAUUAAGAGGCCAUGCUAAGGGACUGGCAGGUGCAUGCAUGUUCGUCAUAUCUACAGAGAGAGUAACAGGUGUGCUGGAUAGUAUGGGAUGUCAGUAUGCGUUGGUGCUGCAUGUCUUGGAGCAAUCACCUGUCGACGUGAGGAAUAUCAUGAUAUGGAUGAAGAUACCAAAGGAGUGACUGAUAAAAUAUAUGGAAGAGAGAGAGAGAGAGAGAGAGAGAAGUAUGCCAUUAUGCAGUGUUGCAGAGCAGUCUCUUGUUUAAUUUGUGUAAGGUUCCUUGUCUGAUGGUCCAACGACUCUCCUAAACCUGAAGAUUGAUAAAUUUGACAUUUAAAUUUCUACCUGAGCUGCAUCAAUAUUUUUUAUCAUGAAACUGAAAUCACAAAUCAUUAUCAAAGAGCUAAACAAUUUCAGACGUUACUGCCAAUUUGCCUCCUUA